AACACGGACCACGAGAAGGACUCGCGCGAAAGCAGCGAGUCCGCGCGAGGGGUCCGAGCUCGAAGUCACCGCGGUAGCAAUGCCAAGGUCGCAUCGAGUGAACGGACGCCCGCGGGAAUCGUUGGCUAGGUAACUGGCCAACAUCCUCGUCACAUGACUUCGACCCCGAGAGGGGCGAGGCAUGAAUGACACCCAAAAAGUCCCGGCAUGACCGGGCAAGCAAGAAUCAAACUGGAGAGUUUGAUCCUGGCUCAGAGCGAACGUUUGCGGCGGGCUUAACACAUGCAAGUCGAACGAGAAUCCCUUCGGGGAGGAAAGUGGCGCACGGGUGCGUAACACGUGGAUGACCUACCCCUUGGUUCGGGACAACAGCGGGAAACUGCUGCUAAUACCGGAUGUGUCGUAGCAAUACGAGAAAGGCCCGCAAGGGUCGCCAGAGGACGGGUCCGCGUCCCAUCAGCUAGUUGGUGAGGUAAUGGCUCACCAAGGCGAAGACGGGUAGCUGGUCUGAG
RNAcentral lists this ribosomal RNA (512 nucleotides) under uncultured bacterium. RNAcentral's name for it is "partial 16S ribosomal RNA". The stretch from base 229 to 512 matches the Rfam family "Bacterial small subunit ribosomal RNA", at positions 1 to 296 of the family's 1533-position model. The record is from RNAcentral.